Molecule: ribosomal RNA, 433 nt
Filed under: uncultured bacterium
Lineage: Bacteria
Description: partial 16S ribosomal RNA
Rfam family: Bacterial small subunit ribosomal RNA
Source: RNAcentral
AACGAACGCUGGCGGCAUGCCUAACACAUGCAAGUCGAACGAGACCUUCGGGUCUAGGGGCGCACGGGUGCGUAACGCGUGGGAACCUGCCCUUAGGUUCGGAAUAACUCCCCGAAAGGGGUGCUAAUACCGGUUAAUGUCUUCGGACCAAAGAUUUAUCGCCUUUGGAUGGGCCCGCGUUGGAUUCGCUAGUUGGUAGGGUAAAAGCCUACCAUGGCGACGAUCCAUAGCUGGUCUGAGAGGAUGAUAAGCCACACUGGAACUGAGACACGGCCCAGACUCCGACGGGAGGGAGCAGUGGGGAAUAUUGGACAAUGGGCGAAAGCCUGAUCCAGCAAUGCCGCGUGAGUGAUGAAGGCCUUAGGGUUGUAAAGCUCUUUUACCCGGGAUGAUAAUGACAGUACCGGGAGAAUAAGCUCCGGCUAACUCCGUG